UGGGGAAUAUUGCACAAUGGGCGCAAGCCUGAUGCAGCCAUGCCGCGUGUGUGAAGAAGGCCUUCGGGUUGUAAAGCACUUUCAGCGAGGAGGAAGGCGUUAAGGUUAAUAACCUUAGCGAUUGACGUUACUCGCAGAAGAAGCACCGGCUAACUCCGUGCCAGCAGCCGCGGUAAUACGGAGGGUGCAAGCGUUAAUCGGAAUUACUGGGCGUAAAGCGCACGCAGGCGGUUUGUUAAGUCAGAUGUGAAAUCCCCGAGCUUAACUUGGGAAC
RNAcentral lists this ribosomal RNA (274 nucleotides) under uncultured bacterium. RNAcentral's name for it is "partial 16S ribosomal RNA". It matches the Rfam family "Bacterial small subunit ribosomal RNA", at positions 355 to 621 of the family's 1533-position model. The record is from RNAcentral.